Pseudophryne corroboree (corroboree frog) is the source of this 792-nucleotide long non-coding RNA. RefSeq lists it as uncharacterized. The record is from RefSeq and is a predicted model, not a curated record. NCBI's taxonomy places the organism in Eukaryota, Metazoa, Chordata, Amphibia, Anura, Myobatrachidae. The transcript is spliced from 4 exons.
UUGGGCAGCAGCCAUCUUAGGAGGUUGGGGGAGAGUGGAACCGCACCUUGGAGCAGAAGGUGCUGAGGUGUACCUAACAUGAUUUGGUGGAGUCCCUGGUGAACCGGAGGAGGCUCCUAAUCUGAUAGGCACAAAGGCGGUCCCUUCUUUAGCAAGGCAGCUAGUGAGCGAAAGAGCAGAAAGAAGAAGUGGCCACCACCCACAACCUCCCUCCCCCAUUCAAUAUCCCUCUCCCUCUCAUCCUCCCUCUCCCCCUCAGCAACCAUCCCCCAUUCAACCUCCCUUGCCCACUCAACCUCCCUCUCCCUCUCAACCUCUCUCUCCCCCUCAGCAACCAUCCCUCAUUCAACCUUCCUCUCCCCAUCAACCUCACGCCCCCAUUCAACGACCCUCUCCCCCUCAACCUCCCACCCCCAUUCAACCUCCCUCUUCCCCUCAACCUCCUGCCACCAUUCAACCUCCCUCUUCCCCUCAACCUCCCGCCCCCAAUCAACCUCCCUCUACCCCUCAACCUCCUGCCCCAUUCAAGUCCCUUCCCCCAUCCAAGAACCAACCCCCUAGUGGGGAAGAAGAGGAGGAGGAGUCUGGGCCUAUGGAGGAGUGGAAAUGCUGAGGUUGAAGUUUGCCAUGCGGACAUACCGCCAACAUCCCCCAGUGGUGAUGAAGAGGAGUAUUGCCCUAUGGAGGAGAAUGCUGAGGUUGGAGAUCCAAAUCCUCCAAUACUUUUGUCCCUGCGCAGGAUGGAGCAUCAUGUUAGAAGCAUCCUUGACAAAAUUUAUUUUUUGUUAAAUA